Molecule: unclassified non-coding RNA, 218 nt
Filed under: Hevea brasiliensis (rubber tree)
Lineage: Eukaryota; Viridiplantae; Streptophyta; Magnoliopsida; Malpighiales; Euphorbiaceae
Source: RNAcentral
CCUGUGUCUGAAUCCACAAGGCAGGAGCUUUUGGAGAUUGAUGGCAUUUCAUAUCGCCUGCAACAAGAAAUUGAUUUACUAAAAAAUUUUAAUCUUGUUCGGUGUAAAAAUUGUCAGACUGUGAUUGCCAGGCGGAGUGAUAUGUUGGUGAUGUCUAGUGAAGGUCCUCUUGGAGCUUAUGUUAACCCACAUGGUUCUGUGCAUGAGAUAAUGACUUU